Long non-coding RNA from Xiphophorus hellerii (green swordtail), 1689 nucleotides. RefSeq lists it as uncharacterized. The record is from RefSeq and is a predicted model, not a curated record. The transcript is spliced from 2 exons. NCBI's taxonomy places the organism in Eukaryota, Metazoa, Chordata, Actinopteri, Cyprinodontiformes, Poeciliidae.
CCUUAGAAUAACAGCGUGCUCCAGCUCCCAGUUAAAUAUGAUCCUAAAUCCAAGGUCCAACCUUUGCUACUGCGUUAAGAGUCAGUAAAAGGUAGGUUCGCCUUUUUUGAUUUUGUUUAGAUUCCUUCGUUUUGAAUGCUUUUUGAUCGUGUGGUGUUAUGUACAUCGUUCGUUGUAUUAGCAACAUGAGCUAGCUGCAGGUUAACCGUCAAAGCGUGCUAACCUUGUUAUAGCAUAUUUAACCGGGUUUUCUUUUAAGUAGUCCGUUAAUUAGAUUGUUUUUAUUUCAGAGUGUGAUAAGAAGUUUAUACUCCAAAAAUUCAAUAAGUUAAUAUGUAUAAUUAUUUUGUGGCAUUAAUACAAGCAAUAGCUAGUAGGUUAAAACAAGCUCCACAGCUUGUUGUAUGCACGUUUUGUUAUGCAUAAUGUGAUUGACUAUCUUUCCCGUUAAAUUGUUUUUGUCGAUACAUAGACAAGAGUAAAAUAUGGAAGUACAAUAUGCAUCAGUUUUCAAACUGUUUUCUUAGCAGUUUCAUGUACACUUAUGCUAAUGCUGGAGAUCUACAGCUUUACAUUGACAAUAUUUACAAAAGCAAUUCAAAAUAAGAAAAAUUGAAAAACAAGGAACUUAAAAAAUCCCCAAAACAGGCAGGCCCUGUUGAAAAUUUUAACUCCUCAACUUUACUCAACUUUCAGGAUACCUACAAAAGAGACAGAGGAGGUUCCUUUGACCUGAACCUAAACCUAAACAGAGAUUGACUCCAGUGUCCUUCUGCUCAUGACAGAUGAGCAGCUUAAGGAGUAUCUCCCAUCUUAUGGUGACCGACUGGCACUUCUCGGAUAUUGCAGACGAAGGGAAAAUGAUCCUGCUGGCCGGAAAUCAAAACUUUUUGACCGAUUGAGAGCCAAGAUUUCAAGGAACAAAGGCAACGAUCAAAAGCAGAUCUCAGAAAAUGUUAGCAUCAGAAAUGCUCAAAAAACUGUUCGAAAAGUUGAGAUAGGAUGGAUGAAUUCUCGAGAUGGGAAGCUUUUUCAAGUUCGGACAAAGGAAGGUGGUGGAACAAGAAAAAUUGAUGUGUCAAAGGACUGUAGAAAAAAUGACUUAAUUGAAAAGGCAGUGGGUUUGUUUUUUCCGUCUCAAAGAAAUAUUGUUACUAGAAUUUUUUUUACUUUUAAUUUUACUUGAGGCUGCAAAAGCUGGUUUGUUACACAAUUAAAAAUACAAUAUGGCCGCCGCGCUUGUAAACAAGCAGCUCUUAGUUGCAUAAAUAAUUUAUGAAUAAUUUCUGAUGUUUUGUUUCUUAUAUUAGUCACAUAAUUUAAAUGUUCAGUGGAUGAACAUGUUGCUACUCUGUUUGAAUGCAGUUCUGGAAGAAAUGGAGUAAAGUGUUUCAUUUACCCUUAUUCCUCAAAAAAUUUCUUUUGUUUACUCAGCAUUUUAUUUAUAUUUUUGUUUUAAGUAAACAUAACCUUAAAAUAUUUUCAAUAACAGAUUGGUGCCAUUGCAGUAGCUCAAUAUCAGAUUUAACCAGAAAACAACUGAAAAAGAACCCUUUUUUUUUUUUUUUUUUUUUUACACCUUGAAGCAUUGUCAUUAUCUUAAAGGAUUAUUUUAAAAUACUCAAAGGCUUCUCUAAUAGCUAAAUAGAGACUUUAAUUUUGAAGUUCAAUAAACCGCUUUUUCCAGUU